UUUUUUUUUUUUUUUUUAAAUUAAAACUAGGUGUCUCCAUUUUUUUUCCACGGGACUUUUCUUUUCCUUUGUUUCUUUAAAAAAUUAUUUACAUACUUCUCUGCUGAGUUCACACACAAAAAUAAUUGCUACGAACUCCACUAUUAAUAAGCUACUAACUUUGGGUAAUUUGUCUGUUUCCUGGUUUCAUUAUUUGUAAAACAGGAAUUAUGAUGGUACCUAUUUCAUGAGGUUGCUGUUAUGACUAAAUUAGAUAAUAAACUUGGCAUGCACCUAAAACACACAGUAAACAAUAAAUGAUCAGCUGUCAUUAUUUUAAAUGAUUAUUUCAAAUGCAUUGCAUUCCUGGAAACCACCCUUUUGAACUUGUCAUUCAUAGAAUAAAACAGUAUCUAUCAAUGCAACUUCGUAUUUAUCUAUGAGGCAUCACCUUCCAAAGCCCUGAGCAGGUCAGUACAGUGGAGAUGAAAUAUGUCCCUCUAUAUACAUAAAAUAUAGAGAUGUCCAUAAGGCAGCAUCAAAAGAGCAAGCUACGAAUGGGAAGGAGUAGAGAUUGGGAUGCCUGUAUACCCUGUUCAGUCUGUAUUCCAUUUUCUCCGAGCUGCUCUUCAGCAUAUUUAUGGAAAUGUUAAUUAAGAAUAUGAUUCCUUUAUACAUUAUUAGAUUGAUGUAGAAGUUUCUGGGGACUAGAUGCAAUUAUGUCAUUCACUAAGACUGGUAGGUUCCAGUGCUUUCUUUAGUUGAAUGACUUCUUAUUGACCAAAUUAAUAAUUAGUUUUAGUUAUUCCAUUAACAUCCCAGAAAAUUAAAAACAGGCAGUCCUUCCCCAGUCUGAAUUAGAUGCACUAAUGUCAAUAUCCUUAUUGUGACAAAAGAUUACUAAUCACAUUUUACCACAUUCCUCCCCCCCACAUUUUUAUUCCUUGGAAGAUAGGGGUAGAGUUGCAAUACCUAAAGCAUUUUGGGGCUUCAAAUUAAACAUUUCAGAAAUAUUUUAGAUCUGGCCUCUUCAUUUAAAACUUGUUUUAGUAUAAGCAUCAACAGGGCAACUACCUAUAUGUCAUGAAUGGGUAUCAAAAUCAUUGGGACCUUGUUUCUGAUAUUUUAAUUGGAGAUUCCUGGCCCUGUCACCAAUUCUUAAAUGGUACUGAUACGUUGCCAAGUUUGGAAACCACUUUCUAAAAGCAAUCAGCUAAUAAGUCUAAGUGGAAAUCAAGCAAUAUUUGAAAAAGGUGCUUAAUGAUCCCCUGUUUACAACUAUUCUUCUUGGGUUUUGCCUUCAUGAGAAUUUGAGUAUAUUUGAAUUCGUAAUUAUAUAUUCUUUAUUGUAAAUGCUAGUGAUGUGAUGAACAACAGAAGUAUAAAAAUAAGAAAAUGGCUUUAAUCAAUAUGAAUCUGAUCGGUUUGAUUUAUACAAACAAUUCUUGAUAGCCCUAAUAAUCAUUUCAAUGUUUACUUCUACAUAUUUGGCAGUAGCUAUUUGUUUAAAAAGCUAUGGUUUAAAACACACAUAGUUCCAUCUAUUAAAUA
This 1530-nucleotide long non-coding RNA is filed under the name Macaca fascicularis (crab-eating macaque). RNAcentral describes it as "lncRNA (ENSMFAG00000060427.1)". The record is from RNAcentral. Lineage: Eukaryota; Metazoa; Chordata; Mammalia; Primates; Cercopithecidae.